Molecule: long non-coding RNA, 2295 nt
Organism: Halichondria panicea
Lineage: Eukaryota; Metazoa; Porifera; Demospongiae; Suberitida; Halichondriidae
Exons: 3
Source: RefSeq, a predicted model, not a curated record
UGCAUGUACACUGCAAAAACACUUUUGUUAUUGUGACACAGUUUGCUACCGGCACAAAAUGUUAUCUUGACAAAACGUUUGUCAAUUUCCUGCAAUUAUUGUUAUAACGACAAAUCAUAGUUUAUUUAACUAUUAAUAUAGUUUAUCUAACUAUUAAUAUUUGUUAUUAUAAUGGUAGAUUGUUAUUUGAACACAUGUGUUGUCAUUUUGUCGAAGCGUUGUUGAUCUCACGUUUAGUGGAAGUUACCAUUCAUUGUCAAAUUAACAUUAAUGUGUGACAAUAACAAAUUAUAAAGUUACAGCUAGAACUCUACUAAAAGAUACGUGCAAGUUUGCAUCACUGAUUUCAACCUACUCAACCUAUACUCGAUUACCCUAGCUCGUAAUAAAUUGUCUACACUGAAACAUCUCAGUUGCCCUGAUGCUUAUAUCUUUGCAUGCUCAUGUUCAAUUGUGUAUGUAGCAAUUGGAGACUUGUGACUGGGCAUGGUAAGUUACAGUGGCAGUGAAGAAGUCAGGAGCCUCCAGAGUCCUUCAGUGCAGUGCAGUGCAGGCAGCCUUCUCUCUAUAGCCUCCUUCACAAGGCCUGGCCUGAAGAGCGGCCUGGGAUCGAGCUUCUCUCUAGCCUCUAACUCUAGCUAGUCUCGAGGCCAGGAGAGUUUGGCCUCGAGACUAUAAUUAUAAGGAACUAUAGGUGUGGCAUGAGUGGGCGUUCAGGAAUAACAGGGCGAGGCCUCAAACAUACUUAGCACAUGGUGCUUGCAGCUGCACCAGACUGCAGCUGCUCAUGCAGCUUUAUACCAUCACUGACUGCAUGCCUGUACCCCUGGCCCUGGGCUACCAUGUUCCAUGUACACCAGCUAGGAUCUAGGAGUCAAGAGUCACCUGCAUCUGCAGCUUGAAAGAAAAGACAAUUGCAAAUUUUCUUAAAGAGUAGAUAGUACCACCAUCUCAAAGAAAAAAUUUACAAAUCACUGCUAUACCGUAUCGGCGUAUAACUCCACCAUAUACCAGCUUCAAAGAAAAAGGAUUUAAGUUAUGUUGCUCAUUGCUAAAUAAGUGUGUUUACGUGUUUCUUCCAGCUGCAGAUUUUACCGUACCUCGGCCCCACAAUGUGUACCAGCUAGGAGUCUACUUAACCACCUUCAUCGACUUCAAAGAAACGACUUGCAAGUUAUGUCAGAUUCCAUAAAACUAUAUAGCUAGCUAGAGGGCAACUGUCCCUGGCCUGGUUUCGACCUUCAUCUGUAGCAUACUGAUUUACGAGUUUGUGUCUUCAUACACUGGUUUCGACUGGUCAACUUCGUCCAUGGGGUGAUAGCUAGUAUACUGAUUUACGAGUUUGUGUGUAUGUGUCCUCAUGUGUCAGUUACACUGGUUUCGACUGGUUAACUUCGUCCAUGGGGUGAUAGCUAGCAUUGUAAUUUACCAGUUUGUGUGUAUGUGUCCUCAUGUGUCAGUUACACUGGUUUCGACUGGUCAACUUUGUCCAUGGGGUGAUAGCUAGCAUUGUAAUUUACCAGUUUGUGUGUAUGUGUCCUCAUGCGUCAGUUACACUGGUUUCGACUGGUCAACUUUGUCCAUGGGGUGAUAGCUAGCAUUGUAAUUUACCAGUUUGUGUGUAUGUGUCCUCAUGUGUCAGUUACACUGGUUUCGACUGGUCAACUUCGUCCAUGGGGUGAUAGCUAGCAUUGUAAUUUUCCAGUUUGUGUGUAUGUGUCCUCACGUGUCAGUUACACUGGUUUCGACUGGUCAACUUCGUCCAUGGGGUGAUAGCUAGCAUUGUAAUUUACCAGUUUGUGUGUAUGUGUCCUCACGUGUCAGUUACACUGGUUUCGACUGGUCAACUUCGUCCAUGGGGUGAUAGCUAGCAUUGUAAUUUUCCAGUUUGUGUGUAUGUGUCCUCACGUGUCAGUUACACUGGUUUCGACUGGUCAACUUCGUCCAUGGGGUGAUAGCUAGCAUUGUAAUUUACCAGUUUGUGUGUAUGUGUCCUCACGUGUCAGUUACACUGGUCAACUUCGUCCAUGGGGGUGAUAGCUUAUACUAUUUACAUUUUGCACUACAUAUGUGUUGGUAACUAUAGUGACUUCAAUCUUUUGUUCUGUAGGGGCGAAAAUGAUCUGAGGGAUGUAGCGUUCAUGAAACCAAACGAAACGCCUGCAGUUCACUGUACUGGAAUUUCAAGAAACGCUAAGUGAUGAACACUAAAAACAAUUUACUGACAGAAGAAAUUAUUGUGCUGCAUGUCAUGUGAUCCAGUGAUCUUAUUCUAUCAUAAACUCAUUGUUCUAA